UUAUUUUCAAAGUUGUUGCGUGUCAACUUGUUAUUAUUUUUAGCUAAAUGAAUUAAAGUAAUUUACAGUCGUAGAAUUCAACGUAUUAUAUUUAUUUCAUUAAUUAUUAAUAUAAAAUGUUUUAUUUUUUGUAAUCUUUUACAGUGUGAUACUUUUUAAAACAAUUUCCAACGUGAAGAAAAGGAUGUCUUUCGCAUGUUUCGCAGAAAUAAACAUUUGUCUUCCUUUCGCCCUUAGCUUUUCUGUUAGAACAGACCAUACAAUCAUUAUGUUUUUUUCCCGGAUGAGGUACUAAAAUGUGGAGUUUUCCAUCAAGUCGAUUCUCUACAUCUGAUGUUGAUUCCGUGCACGACUUGCACUCGAUUAACAAAACUUGACAAAUUAUAACUGUGUAAGAUCUCGAAUACCGUAUGUAUUUUACAGUUAUUUAGUGCUAUUGGUUACAGGCAUACAUUAGUAUUGUCACCUCCAGUGUGACAUACGAGUUGUAGAGUAAAUUAGUAUUGUCACCUCCAGUGUGACAUACGAGUGCAAAGGGUUAAGGCUUCUAGCACCGCAAAAUUCUUCACAAUUUCGUCUUGUCAAUAUUUCCUAUUUUAUACUUUUGAACUCUUAACAGGGCAAUUAGGUGUCACUGAAGUUCACACCAAAAUUUUAUACAGUUCGCCCUUUAGGAAAGAUUACUAUGAAAUUCUCCGGCAUUUGCUGAAUUUUUACGCGAAAACAUCCAAUAACUUCGUUUUCUUAAUUGGCGCGAUAACUACUUAAGCGAUUUUAGUGAAGUUUAACAAAAUGCGUCAAUCGUUUCUUUCUCGUGCUAAUCGGCGGCGGUCGGAAACACCAAAUGAAGGCCAGACCUUCCUCUUCCUCUGCUCCAUCAUCUCAUCUGGUACCACAUCGUAACAGUCAAUAUCAGGCAUCGAAAUUCUCAUGAAAUAAAUGUUAAAGUACAAAGUCAUGAGCCCUCGGAUCCGUGGGCUCGAUGUAAGGUUUAUGCGCUUCCCCAAGUUGCUGGUAACAGAUGCUUAAAAAACCUUUUCUCCUGUGUUCUUCACCGCCCUACACUCCAUGGUAACUCCAUGGUAGAAACAAAGCAAAAAAUUACCUUGUGGAAUGAUGUUUAUUAUGGUUUCAUAAGUCCCUUAUAUCCAAAUAUAUUUACCAACAUAAAUAGCAAACGAAAACACUUAAAUCCCACACUAUACAAUACUAAAAAAAAUUU
This is a long non-coding RNA of Anastrepha ludens (Mexican fruit fly), 1222 nucleotides long. RefSeq lists it as uncharacterized. The transcript has 2 exons. Lineage: Eukaryota; Metazoa; Arthropoda; Insecta; Diptera; Tephritidae. The record is from RefSeq and is a predicted model, not a curated record.